Molecule: unclassified non-coding RNA, 461 nt
Filed under: Zea mays
Lineage: Eukaryota; Viridiplantae; Streptophyta; Magnoliopsida; Poales; Poaceae
Description: misc RNA Zm00001eb411710
Source: RNAcentral
CGCCAACGCGACAAGAGGAGCGAGCUACGACCUUACCGAGAGGAGUCAGGACUCGGCCCUGAGGAGUGUGGAGGCGCUGGGCCCGGGAGCCAAGAGGACCUCAUGGAAACAGCGAAUACAAUGGUGCAGCAUCGGAUCUGAACAGCUGGUGCGAUUAUUUGUGCUUGUGGGACAGGAAACAACGACAGUUUUGAGAGCUGCCUCUAGAGUCUCCAGGAAUGAGGACCGGAGGGAGGAUUUAGGCGCCCAUCCAAAUUUGAGGGCUAGUAGGGGCCCUGCCAGACCUCUGUUUUUGACCUGGGCACCCAUAUUUAGCUAUGGAGGCUCAAGCAGGGGCCCUGCUGGAGUUGCUUUAGCUAUCUGGUAGGAUUGUUGUUUGUAUAUUAGUUUUAUGUUUUUUGUUACUAAUAAUACUUAUAUCCAUUUGCUAUUAUCUGCAAAUGUGAGGGCUAUUUAUGGAC